UGCCAGCAGCCGCGGUAAUUCCAGCUCCAAUAGCGUAUAUUAAAGUUGUUGCGGUUUAAAAGCUCGUAGUUGGAUCUCGGUUUCACUCAGGCGGUACACCUUGCGGUGUUCACUGUCUGGGCGGACGUUUCUGUUGGUUCGCUGUUGGUUCUCUUAAUCGAGUGCCAAUUGGUGGCCAGCACGUUUACUUUGAAAAAAUUGGAGUGCUCAAAGCAGGCGUUACAGCCUGAACAUUAGUGCAUGGAAUAAUGGAAUAGGAUCUCGAUUCUAUUUCGUUGGCUUUCGGAGUCGAGGUAAUGAUUAAUAGGGACAGACGGGGGCAUUCGUACUGCGACGUUAGAGGUGAAAUUCUUGGAUCGUCGCAAGACGAACUACUGCGAAAGCAUUUGCCAAGAAUGUUUUCAUUAAUCAAGAACGAAAGUUAGAGGUUCGAAGGCGAUCAGAUACCGCCCUAGUUCUAACCAUAAACGAUGCCAACCGGCGAUCCGUCGUCGUUAAUUGAAUGACUCGACGGGCAGCCUCCGGGAAACCAGAGUGUUUGGGUUCCGGGGGAAGUAUGGUUGCAAAGCUGAAACUUAAAGGAAUUGACGGAAGGGCACCACCAGGAGUGGAGCCUGCGGCUUUAUUUGACCCAACACGGGAAAUCUCACCAGGCCCGGACACCGGAAGGAUUGACAGAUUGAGAGCUCUUUCUUGAUCCGGUGGGUGGUGGUGCAUGGCCGUUCUUAGUUGGUGGAGCGAUUUGUCUGGUUAAUUCCGAUAACGAACGAGACUCUGGCCUACUAACUAGAAGGGUCGUUCUUUACGAGCGGCCCUCUGCUUCUUAGAGGGACGGGCGGCGUUUAGCCGCACGAGAAUGAGCAAUAACAGGUCUGUGAUGCCCUUAGAUGUUCUGGGCUGCACGCGCGCUACACUGAAGGAAUCAGCAUGUUCUCCCCUCCCUGAAAAGGGCGGGUAACCCGUUGAAACUCCUUCGUGAUGGGGAUUGGAGAUUGUAAUUAUUCUCCAUGAACGAGGAAUUCCCAGUAGGCGCGAGUCAUCAGCUUGCGUCGAUUACGUCCCUGCCCUUUGUACACACCGCCCGUCGCUACUACCGAUCGAGUGAUUUAGUGAGGACUUCGGACUGGUCUCCAAGUUGGCUUCGGUCAGCUCGGAGUUCCGGAAAGAUGCCCAAACUUGAUCACUUAGAGGAAGAAAAAGUCGUA
This 1205-nucleotide ribosomal RNA is filed under the name metagenome. Its description in RNAcentral is "SSU rRNA". It matches the Rfam family "Eukaryotic small subunit ribosomal RNA", at positions 565 to 1793 of the family's 1831-position model. The record is from RNAcentral.